UACGUAGGGACCGAGCGUUGUCCGGAAUCAUUGGGCGUAAAGAGCGUGUAGGCGGCCACUUAAGUCCUGCGUGAAAUCUUGCGGCUCAACCGCAAGCGGUCGUGGGAAACUGGGUGGCUAGAGUACGGGAGAGGAGAGUGGAAUUCCUGGUGUAGCGGUGGAAUGCGCAGAUAUCAGGAAGAACACCCGUGGCGAAGGCGGCUCUCUGGAACGCAACUGACGCUGAGACGCGAAAGCGUGGGGAGCAAACAGG
Molecule: ribosomal RNA, 253 nt
Filed under: uncultured bacterium
Lineage: Bacteria
Description: partial 16S ribosomal RNA
Rfam family: Bacterial small subunit ribosomal RNA
Source: RNAcentral